ACACUGCUGAGGAGUCCCGAAAUAAGACGAAACGGCCGUCCAGUAU
Schistosoma margrebowiei is the source of this 46-nucleotide non-coding RNA. The record is from Rfam. NCBI's taxonomy places the organism in Eukaryota, Metazoa, Platyhelminthes, Trematoda, Strigeidida, Schistosomatidae.